This 183-nucleotide ribosomal RNA is filed under the name Paenibacillus sp. SORGH_AS_0306. RNAcentral's name for it is "partial 16S ribosomal RNA". It matches the Rfam family "Bacterial small subunit ribosomal RNA", at positions 1 to 176 of the family's 1533-position model. Lineage: Bacteria; Bacillati; Bacillota; Bacilli; Caryophanales; Paenibacillaceae. The record is from RNAcentral.
UUUAUGGAGAGUUUGAUCCUGGCUCAGGACGAACGCUGGCGGCGUGCCUAAUACAUGCAAGUCGAGCGGAGAAUGAAGGAAGCUUGCUUCUUUCAUUCUUAGCGGCGGACGGGUGAGUAACACGUAGGCAACCUGCCCUCAAGCUUGGGACAACUACCGGAAACGGUAGCUAAUACCGAAUAU